RNAcentral lists this transfer RNA (73 nucleotides) under Trichonephila inaurata madagascariensis. It matches the Rfam family "tRNA". From Rfam's summary of the family: Transfer RNA (tRNA) molecules are approximately 80 nucleotides in length. Lineage: Eukaryota; Metazoa; Arthropoda; Arachnida; Araneae; Nephilidae. The record is from Rfam by way of RNAcentral.
GUCCCUGUAGAACAAUGGAUAGAGCGUUGAACUUCUAAUCCAAAGGUCGUGGAUUCAAAUCCCACCUGGGAUG